GGGCCGAUAGCUUAAUGGUAAAGCGUUCGACUCAUAAUCGAUUGAGUCUUGGUUCAAUUCCAAGUCGGCCCA
Molecule: transfer RNA, 72 nt
Filed under: Lake Baikal phage Baikal-20-5m-C28
Lineage: Duplodnaviria; Heunggongvirae; Uroviricota; Caudoviricetes; Pantevenvirales; Kyanoviridae
Rfam family: tRNA
About the family: Transfer RNA (tRNA) molecules are approximately 80 nucleotides in length. Their secondary structure includes four short double-helical elements and three loops (D, anti-codon, and T loops). Further hydrogen bonds mediate the characteristic L-shaped molecular structure. tRNAs have two regions of fundamental functional importance: the anti-codon, which is responsible for specific mRNA codon recognition, and the 3' end, to which the tRNAs corresponding amino acid is attached (by aminoacyl-tRNA synthetases). tRNAs cope with the degeneracy of the genetic code in two manners: having more than one tRNA (with a specific anti-codon) for a particular amino acid; and 'wobble' base-pairing, i.e. permitting non-standard base-pairing at the 3rd anti-codon position.
Source: Rfam by way of RNAcentral